GCCAGCAGCUAUAUCACCCUGCAACUCCCAGCUGGCAGCCCCACAGAAGCUCGGCAGGGUGUGAGCCUGGUCAGUCCCUGGAUGGGAGUCUCCUGGGAAAACUAAGGUUGCUGCUGGCA
RNAcentral lists this ribosomal RNA (119 nucleotides) under Lepisosteus oculatus (spotted gar). The record is from RNAcentral. Lineage: Eukaryota; Metazoa; Chordata; Actinopteri; Semionotiformes; Lepisosteidae.